Small nucleolar RNA from Camellia sinensis, 107 nucleotides. RefSeq annotates it as small nucleolar RNA snoR97. NCBI's taxonomy places the organism in Eukaryota, Viridiplantae, Streptophyta, Magnoliopsida, Ericales, Theaceae. The record is from RefSeq and is a predicted model, not a curated record.
AGUGAAUUGUGGGUGUAGGGUCUGAUAAACUCAGAGAUUUUGUGUUAUUAUCUGCUUCAUCUCUUGCACAUUCCACGGGAUUGAAGUUAAAUGACAACACCAUAUUC